AACGAAGAAUUAUCCGAUCCUUCGAGUCCCUUUUAUUUCUGCUUUAAUAAUGUCACGUUUCGUAAACUUUUUCGUGCAAUGAGAUUUCGAAAAGAUCUUGCACUAUUCUUGCGAGUAUUAGACAAUCUGUAGCAAUGGAAUUUUUUAAAACAAUUUUCAAAUGAUAUUGUCGCAAAAUUUCGUUUUCACAGUUAUUCGAAAGGUCUGUCUGAUGUUUAUUUUGAGCGAAAAUUUAUUAGUGAUGGUCGUUGUACAAAUUUUUUAAGUAACGAUGGUUUAUUUUCUGAUUCUCAGAAUCCUUUUGUACCUAAGAAAAGUGAGAGAACAGCGGAGAUCUCGCCAGAAAGGAAGACAGUAAGAAAUUCAAUGUUGGAACGAUUUCCAAGAAUGGGCAGAAGCAAGUCCGCGCCGAGUUCUUACAACUGGCUAACAAACCGUAGACAAAUGUCCGUAAACAGCCCACUGUCUCCAUUGAUGGAAGCGCCCAGUCAAGAAACGGAAUGAAAUAUAUCUCGAAUCGACACGUCGCGCACAGUGGGAAAAUUCGCCGUAAACCCUGGCCAAAAGCAAUACAUCUAAAUCUAAAAGACGAAUUACUGGUAUAAAACCACAGUGAUAUAACUCUGAGCUAAUAAUAUAUUUUUGAUAUCAAAUAUUUCAUGUAAAAAUAAAUUGUCGAUUUAAUAAACUACUUUACAGAAUUGAA
Molecule: long non-coding RNA, 706 nt
Organism: Frieseomelitta varia
Lineage: Eukaryota; Metazoa; Arthropoda; Insecta; Hymenoptera; Apidae
Exons: 2
Source: RefSeq, a predicted model, not a curated record